AGAUCAUCAAGGACAACAACCACCCGAGCCACUGCCUGUUCACCCCGCUAUCAUCCAGAAGAGGCCUUCCAGGCGUUGGAUAGAGAAGGCACUGGAACUGCUGAAAUUAAUGUCAUAGAGUGUAUGGUGACCUAGUAUGCUGUAGAAGAGGACACAUACACACCCAUAGUAGAGGACAACCAUAGCCUCAAAGAGCCUCCAAAGCAUCUCAGUGCACCCAACUAAGGCUUGCAUCAUCUCAAACAAUCUCAAAGAAUCUACUAUUCCCUACUUUUUAAUAACCACCACAAAUACUUUGCUGCCUCUGCUCAAUAACUUGGCAAUUGCAUUUAACCUGGUCAAUUACACGCAAUGAAAAUAAAAUGCUCUACUAAGGGAGUCGCUGCAUAUAAAUCACUGCACGCAUUAUACAAUGGCAAAGUUUUCAGGACAUACCGUUGUGCAAAAAAAUGCCUGUAUUUUAAAGUUCCAUUUCAAACCUCUUAGGAUUUCCUCUCUUUGUUUAACCAUCAAAUUCAGAUGCUAGUCUGUAAUAAGAGAUGAUGACAUCAUACUCUGACAUUAUGUAUUUUUGACUACCUGUCACGGGAUCUUGGAUUAUAGAAAGUAUGUAUUGCUAUAGGCUGCUAAUGAACUGUAAAUUGUACUGAUGCCUUAGUCUUUAGGAUACCUCAGUACAGUAAACUACAUCAGUUAAAGACAGAAAUAUAACUAAUAUUUUUCUCAAGAUGGCAAUUUUAGUCAAAAAAUUGGCGAGGGUACUUUCAACUAAAACACAAAAAGGAAAGGUACUCCUCAAAAUGUGACAAGGUAAAAAGUAACUGAGGUGUAUGCUGAACUGCACAUUUUAAUUAUGCAAAGAAUGUCACAGAAUAAAACAGACUUAUAUAACUUUUGAGUUAUUCAUUUUCUAAAGAUGAUUGAGAACAUGGUGUGGGAUUCUGUAUUUUACAUUAUAGCCAUUACCAUAUAUAUAUGAUUAAAUAUUAUCUGAUGUUGGCUGUGUAAAGUAUCUGCAUUUGUGCACUUGAGCAUCAUCAUGAGAUUAAACAGCUGCUUGCUACA
Oncorhynchus gorbuscha (pink salmon) is the source of this 1065-nucleotide long non-coding RNA. RefSeq lists it as uncharacterized. Lineage: Eukaryota; Metazoa; Chordata; Actinopteri; Salmoniformes; Salmonidae. The transcript has 3 exons. The record is from RefSeq and is a predicted model, not a curated record.